Molecule: long non-coding RNA, 1322 nt
Organism: Fundulus heteroclitus (mummichog)
Lineage: Eukaryota; Metazoa; Chordata; Actinopteri; Cyprinodontiformes; Fundulidae
Exons: 3
Source: RefSeq, a predicted model, not a curated record
AGGGAGAGAGAGAUGAAGCGGGCGGUGAGGGGGAUUAAACACAUUCAACUCCUUGACCACAACCCAGAGACACCUGUUUUUUCAUUUGAUUUGACGUCGUUUUCUUUUUCAUCUUAACCCAGUCUGCCAGCAUGAUAAACCCUCUGAUCAUCGCCAUCAUGACCGUAAACACGUCUAUGACGAUCUUUUACUGGGCCUUCGUCCUGAGCGACUUUUACACAAAGUGGAUGGCAGAGCCAGAGGACAAACCCAAGAAGAUAGUCACUCCAGCCUGAGGGGCAAAGCAUGGAUCUACCUGACUGAGUGACUGGCUACUUAGGUCUAGUCUGUUAGGGCAGUUCAGCUUGUAGCGCUUUCUGUGGAGAAGCAUUUGCUCUGAGUUAUGUUUCUUUUUUCUUUUUGUAUCUGAGGAAAAAGUUUUUUUUUUCAAUUGUUCCUGCAACUAAAUGAGGCAGGAGUCGCACUUACAGAGCUUCCACUGUAGAGCUUAUGCCUGUCUGGAACCCAUUUUACACCCAAAUCAAAGUAAAAAGACAAGCAGCGGUCCUUUCUCCUGACCACUGACUGGAUCUUUGGCCCUAAACCAGUAGAGGAGGAUACAGUGGAAGAGGGGUCCGAAAUAGAGGAGGAGCGGCGGCUCAGCAUUUUAAGUAACCAGAUGCGAUCAGGACACGAGCUGAGGAUGGAGAAAGAAAGAGAAAUGCUGCUGCCAGGCUUCCACCAGGGAGACGGAGGCUGCCAUCAACCAUUUCCCCCUCUUCCACUGAGAAGUGCCAUCACUUCAUCUUACCCCGGAGAAAAAAGGAUGUCUACUCAUAGUGUGACCUUCGCCUGCCCCAUUGGCCCUUGCGUCACCUCUCUUUGAGUUUUCAUCCCGUCAUCUCAGCAGCAGCUUAGUUCAGUUUUUAUCACAUGCAGGAUGCUUUUGCAGUAUUUUGUUUGCAGUAGUCAAGCAAAAGCAUGUAGUUAUAGCUUGUGAUGAUUUUAAUAGAAAAUGCUGUCUUUUAUUUUGAUUAUUAAGUAGGUAGGUCAACACAAUUCAUGUCCACUAACUUAUCUACAUCAUGAUAUCAUGUAAUAUAAGAAGUGUAAAAUGAAAGUUUAUCAUGUGAAAAUAAAUUUAUUUCAUAUGUAAAUCCCAUGUUCAUCACAAAGUGUUUAACAAUCAUUUGUUAAGAAAUCAAAUGGAAAAUUAUGAAAAAUCUUUUAAUUUAUCACAUCACGUAUUUUGUUCUCUUCAAUUGCUGUAAACCAGUGAGAUCACUUCGUCUGUUCAGGUGGACCAAGCUUUGUCCAAGUAAACAACCUAAUAAUACAAAUGA